GCUUGUUGAAAAACCUGCUAUCUGGGCUUGUGGGGACCAAGAAACGCUUCGAUUAGGGUUCUUUAGCUACUAUAAGCUUGUGGUUGUGAAUCCUCUUCCCACUCAACUCUAAAAUCGACACGAAUGUUGAGUUAGUGGUGUUAUAAGUAACCGAGCACGUACAUGGAGAAGCGACCAAUUUAACUCUGAUGUCUUGGGAUGUUGCUGGUGAUGGGAUUUAUUAGUACUUUGUCUGAAGAGGAUUUCAUCGUGCGAGGUGGAGAUCGUACUGGAACUAGUUUUGUAGAUGGGGAAAGACGCUAAAGCUGGUGGAAAGGGUAAGGGAAAGCAAGCUGGUGGCAGUGAUGAAGCGUCCUCUAAGGGUAAAGGCAAAGCUGGGAAAGCUGCUGAUGGUCUAGGAACAUGCACUUAUGUUAAAGAUUUUUUUUUUCAGUUCAUCUGUCUCUAAUACUUGUGUUCUUGUACGUUCUUAUACAG
Raphanus sativus (radish) is the source of this 477-nucleotide long non-coding RNA. RefSeq lists it as uncharacterized. Lineage: Eukaryota; Viridiplantae; Streptophyta; Magnoliopsida; Brassicales; Brassicaceae. The transcript is spliced from 3 exons. The record is from RefSeq and is a predicted model, not a curated record.